Molecule: ribosomal RNA, 365 nt
Filed under: Paenibacillus polymyxa
Lineage: Bacteria; Bacillati; Bacillota; Bacilli; Caryophanales; Paenibacillaceae
Description: bacterial SSU rRNA
Rfam family: Bacterial small subunit ribosomal RNA
Source: RNAcentral
CUUUCCUUCGGGACAGAGGAGACAGGUGGUGCAUGGUUGUCGUCAGCUCGUGUCGUGAGAUGUUGGGUUAAGUCCCGCAACGAGCGCAACCCUUAUGCUUAGUUGCCAGCAGGUCAAGCUGGGCACUCUAAGCAGACUGCCGGUGACAAACCGGAGGAAGGUGGGGAUGACGUCAAAUCAUCAUGCCCCUUAUGACCUGGGCUACACACGUACUACAAUGGCCGGUACAACGGGAAGCGAAGCCGCGAGGUGGAGCCAAUCCUAGAAAAGCCGGUCUCAGUUCGGAUUGUAGGCUGCAACUCGCCUACAUGAAGUCGGAAUUGCUAGUAAUCGCGGAUCAGCAUGCCGCGGUGAAUACGUUCCCG